RNAcentral lists this ribosomal RNA (483 nucleotides) under uncultured Glomus. RNAcentral describes it as "SSU rRNA". It matches the Rfam family "Eukaryotic small subunit ribosomal RNA", at positions 569 to 1056 of the family's 1831-position model. The record is from RNAcentral. Lineage: Eukaryota; Fungi; Glomeromycota; Glomeromycetes; Glomerales; Glomeraceae.
AGCAGCCGCGGUAAUUCCAGCUCCAAUAGCGUAUAUUAAAGUUGUUGCAGUUAAAAAGCUCGUAGUUGAAUUUCGGGGUCAGUAGGUUGGUCGUGCCACCGGUACGUACUGGUCUCACUGAUUCCUCCUUCCUGAUGAGCUGUAAUGCCAUUAAUUUGGUGUUGCAGGGAAUCUGGACUGUUACUUUGAAAAAAUUAGAGUGUUUAAAGCAGGCUAACGCUUGAAUACAUUAGCAUGGAAUAAUGAAAUAGGACGUUCGAUCCUAUUUUGUUGGUUUCUAGGAUUGACGUAAUGAUUAAUAGGGAUAGUUGGGGGCAUUAGUAUUCAAUUGUCAGAGGUGAAAUUCUUGGAUUUAUUGAAGACUAACUACUGCGAAAGCAUUUGCCAAGGAUGUUUUCAUUAAUCAAGAACGAAAGUUAGGGGAUCGAAGACGAUCAGAUACCGUCGUAGUCUUAACCAUAAACUAUGCCGACUAGGGAUCGG